RNAcentral lists this ribosomal RNA (570 nucleotides) under Gastrophryne pictiventris (southern narrow-mouthed toad). RNAcentral's name for it is "partial 16S ribosomal RNA". It matches the Rfam family "Bacterial large subunit ribosomal RNA", at positions 1811 to 2608 of the family's 2925-position model. Lineage: Eukaryota; Metazoa; Chordata; Amphibia; Anura; Microhylidae. The record is from RNAcentral.
AAACAUCGCCUCCCGUAAAAAAUAGGAGGUCUAGCCUGCCCAGUGACCAAGUUAAACGGCCGCGGUACCCUAACCGUGCGAAGGUAGCGCAAUCACUUGUUCUUUAAAUGAGGACUAGUAUGAAUGGCAUCACGAGGGUUACACUGUCUCCUACCUCUAAUCAGUGAAACUGAUCCCCCCGUGAAGAAGCGGGGAUGACACUAUAAGACGAGAAGACCCCAUGGAGCUUUAAACUCAGUAUCAACUACCACAAACCACAUCACAUAAAACAGGUAGACCUGACCACUAGUUUUAGGUUGGGGUGACCGCGGAGUACAACAUAACCUCCACAAUGAACGACCCUCCCUCUUAUCCAAGGGCAACAGCCCAAAGAAUCAAAAAAUUGACAUCCAUUGACCCAAAUAAUUUUGAUCAACGAACCAAGUUACCCUGGGGAUAACAGCGCAAUCCAUUUCAAGAGCCCCUAUCGACAAAUGGGUUUACGACCUCGAUGUUGGAUCAGGGUAUCCCAGUGGUGCAGCCGCUACUAAAGGUUCGUUUGUUCAACGAUUAAAACCCUACGUGAUCUGA